AGGUUGAAUACCCCAUGUGUCUUAGAUUCCAUAUCUUUUAAGCUGAAAGCUCUUAGAAGUUCUUGUGCCUGAGAAAACCGGGGUGAAGACUGAAGAGCCGGCAGACCUGGUCUCCAGCUGAGAGGUGCCCACUGGAUGGGUACCAGUUGGGCUUGAAAAUGCAUGCACUGGGUGCUCAACGUGCUUUGCUUUAGCUGUGCUGCUUACACAGGUGGACAUACAGCCUUCUGGUUUAGUCCUAAAGCUGCCAUUUUUUAUCUGUGGUCAAAACAAAAGAGUAAUAUUUUCUGCUAUGGAAAAGCUCCUUUCUGGUAAACUAAAAUUAGAGCGUAAAUAUUUUUAAAGUAUUUUGUUAUUACAAAUGUGGGUGAAGGAAAACAUUGAAAAAUAUAUUGGAUGAAAUCUACAUGGUUGGCUUUGCUAUUAUUGAAUGAUUGCUGUGAGGAGUCCUAUUCUUUUCCUUUAAAUUUUCAAAGACAAACCACAUCCACACAUGAAAUUUGUUGAAAUUGUACUUAUAGCAUAGACACUAUGAAAAAAUAUUGUUAUUGCAAAAGUAAAUAAUUCGAUAGUAAAUUUAAAUGAAGAAGAAAUGGGAUUUCUCCUCCUUCAAAUAACCUCAUUUUAAUGUUAACGAAACCUUGACCAAAAAAAAAAAUCUCCUGGAAGGGUAAAAGCUAUCGAGUAUUACAGAAAAGAACCACUUAAAAGUGGCCAAAAGAGCCUAAGGUGACACACAAGCACUGACAACAUUGCUCCUCCUGAGUUUUAUUCUGGUCACACACAGAUGUACUUGCUCUGGGCAAGGUGUGUAGGAACUGACUAAGUGUGCACAUACUGCAGGCAGUCCAAAUGUGACAAACAUGGUUUAAUGUGUUAAAAUCUGGGGGUUGGUUAGCUCAUUUUUUCAAGAGGUCACUUGCUCAAGGACAGCACGUGUUUGUUGUUCGCCUCAGUCUAACCAAGACAUGCAGCUUCUUGGUUUCCUCCCAUGUUUCUCUCAUCCUCUGUGGCCUUUGGUGGAGCCCAGUUACGUACUUUUUUCUGACAUAAGCCCCUAUGCUGUAUGAAAUAGCCUGCAGAUGUUGACUGGCAGGGAGUCUGAGAAGCAGACUUCUUUCACUAACAAACUGACCUUCACCUGGCUGGAGAUCAUUAUCUCAAAUUUUCUUUAGAUGUGUCUAGUUGAGCAAAUUGUUGUUGAUGUUAGGUGUGCUGGGAUGCUUGUGUUCAUCAAUGAUUCUCUUCAGCUAUUUCAGCCUGCAAUGUCUUAUAUGUGCAAUGAAAAUAAUCCUUUCUUCUUACUGUGAGGGUGUAGGUGAAUAAUUUCUCUAAAAUUCUCCUGAUAUCUAUUUCAUCUUUGAGGGACAUGUUGAUGUAACAACGAAUACACACAAAGAGUGUCAGCAGUCUGGAGAGCAGAGUGGGACUUCAGCUCAUUGUCUUUGCUCUGGUGCUUUCUCAGGCUACAUACAGUAUCUGCAUUUCUCUGCCUCUAAAAAUAUCUCAGAUUAGCAUCCAAGAGUAUUAACAGCUGUACACUUUGGGGUGACAUAUGCAAAAGUAUCAUAUUUGAGUUCAUUCUUACUCAGGAAGUAAGGGGUAUGUGCACAAGAAUAUUUCCAAAGAAUUUUUUAAUUACUACUGUCCUCUGCAGACCCUAAUUCCUUAUGCCUUGCAGUAGCUGGCAUUCCCCACCACCAGCCAACUACAGUAAAUUCAUUCACAUACAUAAACUUCAUUGAAGUCUUGUUUUUCCAGUUCUUAAAAACACUUCAGCCACAACUGAUGUGGUUUAGUUCAUAUGAUGCAGCCUCUGAGCACUGUUGACCACAGAGAACGUUGAUUACGUAGCAUUAGGCUCCAUGUAUUUUCCAAAUUCUUCCCAUAGUUUAUUGAUGAUGCAAAGGAAGUAUUCUGUGCCAGUUCUGUGGCCAUUGCAGAACAGCAACACAAGUAGUAGAGCAAACACCGUGAGGUACAGGAGCUGCACAAGCCUGAACUGGUUAAGAAGAGUAAGACAUACGGGCUAUAGUUGGCCAGGAAUUGGUUUUUAAUGACAGGGAUACAGCAAAUUGUGCAUACCUGAGGAGAAACCACGAAUGACACAGUCCUCCAUCCUCUUGUUUUGGCACAUGCAAUUAGAAGGCAGGAUACAGAUCACAGAAAUGAUAUACUGAUCCUAUUAGAAUUUCAGGUGAAAAGGCAAGGAUUCACUUCUAAAUGUAAAUUUUGAAAACAGAACUAAGCAAGAUACACUCAGCGAGAUUUCUCCACUGAGCAAUUGCAUCUGGCAGCAUUUCAAGUUUUCUUCUCCCACUACUCUAAGAGCAUAAAGAUGUUGUUAAUACAAAUGAGAAAUACCCAACAUGCCUUCUUGUGGCUUCAACUGAAUAUUUGAAAUGAGGAAAAAAUACAUCUUUAUUCACACUGGAUUCAGUCUCACAUACAAUAAAAUCACUAGAAAAGUACAGCUGUUCAGGUCUCUACUAUCUUAAAUUUCCUCUAUUAAUUACUUUCUUUAAUUAUUUUUAUCUUUUUAUUGACUCUCUUUUCCCACUUAGAAACUCUACAGGUCCUCUUGACUAAUUACAGCAUUAAAACAACCAUUAGAAAGAGUUUCAAAGGGGCAGCUGAUCAAAUGAUCCUUAAAUGAUUUCCAAAGUUAAUUUAUGCCUAUUGUCUAGUCUUGUCUCUAGACAAUUUAUUUUGUGUACGAGAUGUAUGGCCGGCUCAAGAAAGAGGGUCUGAAAGAGAAAUGUGUUGAAAAACUACAUAGACUUAAAACUUAACUUUAGUCAGACCACAGUAAGAGAUAACAGUAAACUGAAAUAAAAAAUUGUCCCACUGAUGUUCCACAGUCUUUUCUGAGAGGAUUUCUACCAAAGCACUUGGUGAUACCUUUGUCAGAUGAAGGAUGCUGGCUGGCCUAGCUGAAUUUUGGCCAUAGUUCUAGCAGACACAAUCAGUUCUUUUACAGUUUGGUAUAUUCCUCUUUAUUAGCUUCAAAAAUAGGCAUUUGCUAAACAACUUUUCAGAAGUGGAGAAGAGAUAUUAGUAUUUACCUUUUAAACCAGUCUUGAUCUGCCUGUAACUUUUUCAGUUUUCAAAAUUCUAUAGAAUAUUUACAAACUCCAAAAGAAACUGGAGCUGUAUUAGCUGUGCUUUUACUACAUAAAACACUUUAUUAUAAUUGUUAUUUAUGAAGUUUUGAUGCAUUGUGAAACAGUUUCAUAAAGUGUCAACCUCCCACACAUGGAUGAAAUUGGCAAAUGAUUCUGUAUUAAGGGUGUGUGUGUACAUAUAUCUGUGUGAAUAAGGAUAUGUAAAUGUAUGUAGAUAUUCAUGUUCUAGAAACAGUUACAAUUUUCAUUUUCAGCCCUGCGUGGGAGGCAGUUUCCUUCCAUGCAGAGGCACAACACACAUCUAUUGAGCAGAGAGGAGAACCCCAUGAUUAGCACUCAGCAGGAAAUGCUGAGAGUUCAGACUGCUGCCUCUAUGGCGUCUGGCAGGACAACAGGAGCUUAGCAGCCUGCAGAGCCCACCUGCCCUGAGAAGACAAAGCUGGGACGCUGUUAAGCAAGCCUGUGGGUUAUCCUGCAUCUGCAUGGGGCAGCGGGAAAGCAGGGUCACCCACACACUCUGCAGCUGCUUUGGUUUGCCCAGCCUGUAGCCAAGGAAAUGAUGUAAAAGAGCUGAAAGUACUGGGAGUGAGGGGAUGGGAAAGGAUGAAUUUGUGAUUGGAUGCAGCAUAGAGGGUGUGUGAGAGGGGUCUGUGACAGCUACAUGCUGGGUCACUGUCCAUGCCUUACUGUCCACAGGCAACUCAGCUGACUGCCUUCCCACAGAACCUGCUCUUCCUGUGUGCCACCAGGAAAGCACUGCAGUGUGUUCUACUGCUCAUGGACUAGGGAAGAGCCCUGCAUGCCAAUCAGUGCCAACAAAUUACCAAGGCAUCAGUGGUCAGUCUCCAACACGCUGAACCCUUCCCAGAAUCUACAGUAAAUCCAGGUCUUGUCCUUGAAUUUAGAAAAGCAGCAUAUUCAUGCUAAAACUGCUUCUGAGGAGGCAACUUCCUUGGAGACAGCCUAACUCUUAAAAAACAAAACUAAAAAUGGGCAAGACACAGGCUUAAAGAAAUGUUUGUUGUGUGUCCAGAACACUGACAUCCAGACCACUCCCUAAGUUUUAUAAAUGUGUCUGGCUGUUGAAGUACUGCAGAUAGAAAGGGUUCUGCAGACUACAAAGUGAAAUUUGGGCUGCUAUUCCCAAAUUAGGCUGAAUGAGAAUUUCCUACAGAUGAGGCAGCUCAAAAUGUUAAGGGGAAUUUCGUGCCAAAUUUCUGAUCCCCACCUUAAAAAUUCUCUCCCAGCAAUCAAGAGAUAAUGAAGCAAGCUGCAUAAUACAUUAGUUUUUUUCUAAAGGCCAGAAGGAAUUGUUCUUUCUUUUACUCAGAGAUAACAAACGAACACCAUGUUUCCCAGUGUCACUGUGGUCUAAACUAAUGCCAGCACCAUCAUAAAUCCUACCCUGCCAUCAGUCCUGUUUCAACAUAAUCUGAAAGAACAUAACCAUUUUUUUGUUACCAUAAACUGAAAAAAACCCCCCACACUUCUGUGACAGGAAAAAAUAUUGGAAUCAUGUCAAAGCAGAGAUAGAAGAACACAAAAAAAGAGCUAAGAACUAACAUUUCUAUUAUGGUAUAAAAUAAAUGACUAAGUUUUCCAUUUUCUGCUGAUGACCAGACAUAAAAGUUAUGCAGCAGCACUGCAGGUCAGGGACAUUCUUCUUAGUGAGGGACAAGUAUUUGCCUGUCUCCACAAGCUGCCAGUUCAAGGGUUCAAUACAUUUUGGGCUAAAGGAGGUACAUAAGGAGGGACCUGCUGAUGGACAUACUGAGGGGCUUCCUUGGUCAGCUGGGGUUUUCUGAAGUGCAGGAACCCCAGUCAGACCAGUCCUGCAGGACUUGCUGCAACAAGGAAAAGGCUAUAAUAAAAGAUCAGUUAGGUCUUACAGUGACCUUGACAUGCAAGGAUAGAAGGAAAGAUUCCAGAAACAGAGACCAGGAUCCAGGUUAAGCCCAGGCCUGGUGCAGUUCAUGUGGAGAAGCCUACUCCUGCCUCUCCUCCCCCCCCCUCCAUAACACAGCACACUACUGGUCACCUCAUUCUCCAGCCAUCCUUAUUUUAGUAACAUGGCAAAAUGGAAAUACUUCUUUCCUUGCAUACCUGUGCUGUUUUGCUUUCUGGCUUCCUUUGAAGAACCACAGUAGCUGCACAAAUCCUGCACUGAGCAUUCUGGUUUUUGGUUUUUUCCCCUCACACAGGGUUUGUGGAGCCCAGCAUUAUCCACAGUUCUCUACAGUUUUAUAGGAAGGACCAUCUGGUGGUCAGCUGCCCAAAUGCACAUUUGCUGCCUCCUGCACCUGUUCAGUGUCAUUCAGCCUCUCUCUGACAGUUGCUCUCCCACCAGAGGUCUUCCUGAGCGAGGGGACAAGAUGAUGCAGCACAUCUCCUGAAACAGCAGCGGGCACAAGGCUGUAGCUGACUGGGAGAUUUAAUGCCUGGAGAAUGCAUGUCAAAGACUUUCCUGCUGCAAGCUUUGAUUGGCCCUUCUGAUGCUAUUUGAGGGGAAAAAAAUUCCAUUCUCACAGCAAAAAAAUUCAGAGGGAUGCUGAAUAUUUCUGAAGAAAAUACAUAUGGUCAAAGUCAUUCAGCAGCUUGGUUUCCAAAGGAUGGGAGGCCAAUAUCUGCACUGCCCCCACACUUAAAGUCAGUAAUUCCAACCUAUUCUGAAAAGGUGUCAAGGAGAGACAUUAAGAGAAUUAAGCUCUUGAAAGCUCUGUGGAAAUCAGUGGCUGGGAAAGAGGUCCAAAUAAUUCCUCUUGGGGAAAAAAUGGGCAGAAAGAUGCCCCUGGCCUGCUGGAGAUAAUGUCAAUCAACACACGAACAUGGAGAAAGGUGCUCCAUCUGCAGGGGGUGUCAGACAUUCAUAGGAAACAGCACUUCGUUAGUUCUGCCCCUCAGAGCACUCAUUUUAAAAAUAGCUCUUUUCUCAGGAUUUGCCAUUUUGUAACUAAGAUGCAACUUCAACUGAGACACCCUUUCUGCAACAUAAGUGUUUUAGAAGAUUACACAUGACAACCCCUAAACAAGCAGCAGUUUUAGAGCUGGAAGAGGGAGCACAGCCAUACCCACAUUAGAAUGUAGCCUGCACAUCUCAGCUGGUCUGAUAUGAAACACUGACCACCACCUAAGCAAAGGUACUUUAUAUUGCAUUUUACAAAAGCAAGAAAGUGACCACUAAUGUGCAUGGUUUUGAUCUCCAUCAGCACAUGGAAACACAUUCCAAACCAUUUCCUUAUGUUCUAUUUGAUACCAUGUUAUAACUCAGGAACAAUUACAAAAACAGAGAAGUACCAAAACUGCUUCUCUUAGACAUGAAUGCAGUUUUCCUUCUCUUCCUGACAUUUCAGAACAAGAUGGUGUGGUGCUUUUUCAAUAAGAAUACCAAAAUAAGGGUCAUAAAAAGGUGUUUAUUUUAUCUGUCACUACAGACCACUGGAAUUUGUCAUCAUUUAUUGCAGUCAACUGAAAAUGUAGUAAAGAUUUAUAACAACAUUCUGUGGUGCUUUACAAACAUAUGCUACCAUCACAGGUAAUUUUACUGUGAUUCUAUUAUGUAUCCUGUGUUUCAAUUUAAUAAAAUCAACACUGAAAUACAUACUUUCUAAACAAGGCAAUACAUAGCAAAUGUUUUCUUUUACUGUAAAUUGAAACUUCAUGUAUUUUGAAAUAAAGUAAUUAUGGUGCAAUUCCUUCAAACAAUAAAGGCUUCAUAAUUUUAAUAAUGUACCAAAUGUAUCUAUGCCGUAGCAGAAACAGAUUUAAAAGAGAAAACCUACGGCAGAAACACAACAUACAGAUUUUUAUUAAAGAAAACUAAAUAGAGCAGCAAGCAUCCUGCAGUACUGCAAGAAUUUGCUUACACACACAGAACAAUUUUUCUCUGUCUCAUAGAAAGUUAACAGAAAAUGUUAGCAAAAAGCCCCUGCUGGUCUCCACUGUUUAUACUAACAAAAAGAGCUAAAAAAAAAAAAAAUCAAUCAGUAUUUAUGAUAAAACCGUAUCUAUGGCUGAUCUAAUAGCUAUGCCCCAAGCCAUUUUCUUACCCUAAUGCUAAAUUCCAGUGAAUUGCUAAUAGUCAUUAUCUGGGAAGAGCAGGAAGACAGCUCUGAAAAAGUGCUGAAGUGCUGCUUUCCUUACUGCUGGCACUGCAAGAAAACAAAGAGAAAUGAUUGUUUAUACUCUACAAUAUCAUUGUAUCAUUUAUAACAUUCAAUCCCGAAUCACUUUUGACAGGUACCACAAGAGAUUUUGCAGCACCAUGGGAUUUUGUGCUUAACUGUUACUGGAGCCCAGGGCUCCUCUUUUUGGUAAAUGCCAGAUUGCCAGACAAUGUAAGAGGGCCCCUUGGCAUUCACUCUUUGCCCCUUACAUAUCAUUUUGCUUCUAUGUUCAGUUUCCUAUGUCUUAUUGACACAUUCCAUAAACAAGUUAAGCAAAUAUUUGGUUAACGGCACCAGCCUGGGAGGUGGUAAAAAAGGCCUGAAGUUGCUCAAGACUGAAGGGGUACCCUCUAUUUCCCAUGCACCAAUUUCUUUUCAGCUAUUUAUAACAUGGGUUAAAAACAGCCUUUAUAUUUUUGGAAAAAAAUUCUUCAACGAAAGGGCUGUCAAGCUUAAAACAGACUGCCCAGGGAAGUGGUUGAGUCACCAUCCCUGGAGGUAUUUAAAAGAUAUGUAGAUGUGGCACUCAAGAACAUGAUUUAGUGGCAGACUUGGCAGUGGUUGGACUUGAUGAUCUUACAGGUCUAUUUCAAUCUAAAUUAUUCUGUGAUUCUGUUUUUUGAAGGAAAGCAAAAUCCCUGUCUUUAGGAGACACUCUGUCCUAUUGUACAGAUGCUAGCGCUCUCAAAAUUAUCUUCAAAAUCCAGGUAUGUCAUGGAUACUGGCAUGGAGCGUUUGGAUGUGUCUGAGCUCUGACAGGAAGGGCUGCCUGCCUGUGGCUCUGACAGCAGCAGUCAUCACCUGCAUGAAAGAAGACAAGCAGGGGCCUGGACAGCACUUGGGUCAGCCCUUAAUCACAAAGCUGAGGGAGACAGAAGAUUAGCAACUGAAAUGUAACAAGAUUAUGGAAACAUGACACCAGUUCUUCAUAUGCUAAAUCAAAACAGUGUAAGUUUGCACUCAGGGAGGAAUGCACCUGCAGUCAGCACUGAGGAAAGUAAUUAGAUUUGAAAAAUCAGGAAUGCCAAGAAGUGCAACUAGGUAAACAUUCAUGGAAUGUGUGCUGGGAAGGGCAAAACCUGGUAUGAGAAGAUAAUGAAGAAAUGCAACAAUCCAUGGAGAAGAUUUAGAAUUAAAAAAAAAAAAAUUAGGAGUAUUUCACCGUUUCUUUAUGAAUUAAGAUAUUAAGCCUAUUAAUAAUGGUGCAGAAAAGGCAGAAGCUUCCAACUAAAAUUUCUACUUCCUAUUUGAAAAGGUGGGUAUUGUGUGAGAAAGUAUUUUCCAACAGACCAGCAACUGAAAAGGCAAAACAUUACCAGGAAUAAUUAACAACUUAAAGACAGCUGACCCAGCCUAUCUUUAGGUAACUGAAAAUGUCAAUAGAUUAGGAAAAGGUCUCUCACUAUACAGGAGGGAAACCAGAAUGAAUCAGGUAUAAAUACAAACCGAUUUUCCGAUAUUCAAGCCAUGCUGCAGAAUUUAAAGGUUCAAAAUCUAAUUACCGUUAAUUACCACCUUUUAUGAGAAACAGGCUUUCGUUAAUCUCAUUUUUCUUGUCAGUGAGGUAUUUGGUUGAUAAACCUAUAACUGAAUAGGUUCAGUAUUUUUGUAGGGAAUCAUCACAGUGAGACAAACAUCCAAACUCACAACUAGAGCAAGACUACGUCUCUAACAUACACAUUGGAAACACAAACUGUCAGAUUUCAACAAGGAGCGCCCCACUGGCUGCCAGUCGAGUGAGCUUUAGGGGAGGCUGCUCAGAUUUGUGACAAGACCCUCACACUUUAAUGCCUGAGUUAAGUUAAACCAUGCAAAGGCAAAGCUGGGCAAAGCUCACACCCUUCUCUGAUUCUGUGACUAGAGAAGAUCCAUUUGUUCAGGCUAUCAAAAAGAACCUGCACAGAAACAGAGCACAUGUUCAUGUCAUUUCAAAAAUGACAACUUACUCUCAUUAGUAAGUACCCACACAAGUGGUAGAUUUGCACUCUACUACUACUCUACGACAGUACUUAUGACUAGGCAAAUUCUUGAACCAAGAAUUGAGCUCAGUCUGACUGAAAGACAUUUAGUUUGAUGCCAGAUAACUUAGUUUAAAGACCUGCAAUAUUAGAUCACCUAAGGGAAUUUGUCCCCUUUGACCAUAAGGUUUCAGACAAAUGCUGUAUUUUUCCUAAGCAGCAUUUAGCCCAUGUGCAAAAGGGCACCUCCACUUACAAAAGAAAAGAUAAUGCAAGUAGCAUGAAGAAGACAGGUGAUAAAAGGACAGUGUUCUAGAUUCCAAAUAGAGCACCUCUACACUACUUACAAUCAUGAGCUGACCCUCUCCAAAAUUUAAGUCUCCAUUUCCAUUGUGCUACUUACAAUCCUCAGAGACAAGACUGUCCCUUCCCUACAAACAGGAAAAAACAUCCAACCCACUGCAACAGGGACAGAGGAAAGGUUCUUGAAUAAAGGGGCUUUUACCAGGGAACCACUGUGUGAAAUCAGUGACCUACUGAUCUCAGAGUUGAUUCUGCCUUUGAUGAAUGGUGUCCAGGUUCAUGAAAUGCAAAGUUCUUUCAACACUUUUACAACACCACAUAAAUCUUUACAUUCAUUAAGAAAUACAAACCCUUAUACAUCUCCAUAAGCUCCUGACUACCAAUUUCACACCAUUAUACUUGCACUUAUACUUCCACAGUGUAACUAGUAUUAAAGAUCAGGCAGACACUGAGCCACUAACAGCUCCAUAAUCUGAGCUGUAGCACUGUGUUUAAUUACAUCGCAUUAUUAAGAAGAUUCAUCACAUGACAGAAUGUGGUGGCACAACAGAAACAAUAAGCUCCAUGACAAAUCCAGGUGAGAUUUUUUUCUGUACAUUAUAUUUUUAAGCAACUAGAAAUAUUUUAUUAUCAAUACAGACAUUUCAAUAUUAGAAAUCUAUACAACGUCCUUUUCUUUCCCAGUCUCCAAAACGUGUAGGUUCAGGGCCUCUGGGUCCACCCCUCUCUUUUGUAGUAGGAUUGAUUCCAUCAGGGAAUUCUAAAAUAACAGGGAAAGUCCAUUAAAAUUUCUAUAAUGUUGACAAAUAUAAAGAUGCUAUCAUUUAUGAUGUUUUCCUUUUAGUUUCAUUUUCAAAGACAAAAUCAAUUCUUUUUUGUUUUGAAAGGCAACCUCGAGCUAAAUAUUUUCCAGAGCCCUACAAAAUUAAUUUCAGUUUUUUGACUUCAAUAUAUAUGAUCAUAUAUAUAUACACACAUACAUAUACAAAUACAGAUAUAAUAUUAUUUAUUAUGCAAAUAAAGAAGCAACUGAAUGUCCAAAGGCAUUAAAGGACCACAUCUUCUCAAGUCAGAACUUGCAUCAUUCAGAAAUGCUGUAUUUAUGUUCACGACAUCUAAAACCCAGGUAUCACUUGCUGUUUACCUCUCUAAUUUUAAGUACUCUGUUUAAAUUUAAGCUUGAAUUUUAGUCAAGACUCUGUUACUCUUGUACUUAAAACAUCUAGGUUGGAUGUUUGACCCAUCCAACCUAACCUUGAACACUUUCAGGAAUGGGGCAUUCACAGGUUCACUAGGCAGCCUGUUCUAAUGUUUCACCACCUUCAGAGCAAAGAGUUUCUUCCUAACAUCUAAUCCAAGCCUGCCUUCCUUCAGUUUAGGACCAUUGUCCCUUGUCCUGUCACUAUCUGCUUGUAUGAAAACUCCUUCCCUGCAUUUUAUAAACCCCCUUAAGGUACUGAACCCCCUUUAGAUAUCAGAAGGCCACAAUUAGAUCUUCCCAAAGCCUUCUCUUCUUCAGACUGAGCAACCCCAGCUCUCUCAGCCUGUCCUGGCAGGAGAGGCGCUCUAGCCCUUUGAUCAUCCUUAUGUCCCUCCUCUGGACCUAUUCAAACAGGUCCAUGCCUUUCUUGUGCUGAAGACUCCACAGCUGGAUGCAGCACUCCAGGUAGGGUCUCAUGAGGGCAGAUGGGGAGAAUCACCCCCCUUGACCUGCUGACCCCGCUGCUUUUGAUGCAGUCCAAGAUCUGGUUUUUGGGCUGCAAUGACACACUGCCAGAUCAUGCCCAGCUUUUCAUCCAACCCCCCCACCCUGCUACAAAAGAGCAGCACACUGCCAGGUCAUGCUCCUUUCCUAACCAGCACAGAGCCUUCUGUACCUCAGCCAACAUUCUUAUACUCAGUGCACCUUUACUCAGGGCCAUCUCCUAAGAAUAGUUAACUGAGGCCAUCAAGCCACGAUGUUCUUGUGGCACAGCAGCAUCCUAGGCUGAGUCUCAUCCUGCACUAGACUGCAGGGCUCCCAGAAAGUCACAGUACCCCACAUGCCCCUUGCCAUGCUGAUUGUCCAGAGCUUCUCACAUAUGCACCUAACUCAUAUCCCUCAGUUACAUCCCUAAGUCAGCCCAGGUGGGCAACACAGGUAAUGAGGUGGAGGGUUGAAAAUGAGAAAAGAUAACAACAGAAAUUCUGGACAGCAGACAAAAAUAAAAGUGAUGGAGGAAACUCAUACAGCUACAGGCUAUACAGGAUGACAUACUGGCAUACCUCUUUCAUAAUUGAUGCCAACCAGGAAAAGAUACAUCAGUAUCUGAGCACCUCUGGCAGUACAAGGGGUGCAAAUGCACCUGAUAUUAUUUUGUACAAGUCAUCAUCCCAAUAUCAAAGCACUACUCAUGUGCUGGCAGUGGAUGCAGAUGCUCAAAAGAUUUCUCCAUGAUAGCUACAGAGCACUGGGAAUUCUAAAUCCAGCUUCAACUCUUAGUUUUUUCCUAAUAAUACAAGAGGCAGUUUGCAAACUCUUGCCGGUGUUACAUGUAAAAAAAUACAGGUGCAACUAAAGAGACCUUGAGUCUUGCUCCAAACCUGGAAUACCUACGCAAAUAACAAAAGAUAUUGAUUAUGCAUGCUUUAAGUGAAGCAGUGAUGGCAUUGAUUUUCCUGGGAAUAAAAAGACGAGGAUUAAACAGCUGCUUACACAGUAACUCCAACUGUGAGUUAGUUCUCAAGUGAGCCACAAUUUGAAAUUGCAUGGAGAUGAUUCUAUAAUACAAGAAUAGUACAACAAUACAAUGACAAACUUGCAGAGAAAUUUGUGAAAGGAGAAGCAGAAGUAGCUUUUCACCAUGAUACAGCUUUCCCAAUGGCUGUGGUGGCCUCAGGGUAAUACACUCUGGAGUUGGAGACCAGUUUUUAGCUCUGCUGCACCAAAAGUGCCAUUUUAGCCUGUAUGAAAAGAGGAGACUUCUCUGAAAAAAUAUCUGAGGAUUUUGGAUAUGCUAUUAAGGAUUCUGAGGUGGAAGAACAUGAUCGGUUUCUUAAAUUAAUGUAAGGAAUAAUUAGUCUUUAUGCUGCUAUCAUUCAACUCUAGUGGCCUUAUGGAAUUAAAGAAGGGGCACAUCUUCAUGAACCGAACUAUGCAUGGCACUGGCUUGCCUGGAUGUUGAAUAUGGAGCCCCUGACAGAGGUGACAGCUACACUACCUUUUAAUUUUCUGGAGUGUAUUGUAUCAAUAGCAGCACAGAACCUCAGGGCUUGACGAGAGGGAAGCACCCAACAAACAGCCCAAGCUGAGCCCUGCGGAACAGGCUCUGUUAUCCAGUCUGCCUUACUUCUCUAUAAACAAACCGCCUGAAUUUCCUCAGGUGAAGGGAACGGACCAGUAACUUCCAAGUACACAGCACAGUUCCUCCAGCUAUUCUUCAAACGUUAUACCACUGUUUACACCACAUUUUACUGUCGUUAAGAAGUACCAAGCAACGACAGGGCAAGAAAGCAAGAGUUGCCCGACAGCAGGAGGUUUACCAUACAAGCGAGAAUAUUAAUAUCGAAAGGGCGAGGGGGAAGGGAAGGGAGGGGAUGAGAGCAGGGAAUCCGUAGGGCCACGGAAGGUGCGGGAAAGGCUGUGCCAGCCCACGGCCCCCCGGGCUGAGGAGGUGGGGCGUGUCACGCUCCUCACGCGCCGCCAUUUUGGGCGCUCUCCAGCCCCCCAGCGCCGGCAGCCCCGGGCGGCGCCCGCCCCGUCCCGUCCCCUCGCUCGUCAGUUCCUGCGGGAGGAAGGGUAGGGGAGCCGGGGAGCCCUUUCCCGGCACAACCCGGGCCCUCCCGCCCUCCGCCUGCCUCUUACUCGCUGCCCCGGGCGCGCCGCGCAGCAGCCGCA
This is a long non-coding RNA of Haemorhous mexicanus (house finch), 13426 nucleotides long. RefSeq lists it as uncharacterized. The record is from RefSeq and is a predicted model, not a curated record. The transcript is spliced from 3 exons. NCBI's taxonomy places the organism in Eukaryota, Metazoa, Chordata, Aves, Passeriformes, Fringillidae.